GUGCUGGCUUCAGUAGCAGCAUAGGAAUGAAAAUAGCAGCAGUUUGGAUAAGAUCAGCCUGGCCCUGUGCAAGGAGGGUAUGCAAAUUCAUGAAGGGUUCCAUAUUUUU
This 109-nucleotide small nuclear RNA is filed under the name Tupaia belangeri (northern tree shrew). The record is from RNAcentral. RNAcentral also lists the same sequence under 1 other name. Lineage: Eukaryota; Metazoa; Chordata; Mammalia; Scandentia; Tupaiidae.